Molecule: ribosomal RNA, 1059 nt
Filed under: uncultured Cryobacterium sp.
Lineage: Bacteria; Bacillati; Actinomycetota; Actinomycetes; Micrococcales; Microbacteriaceae
Description: bacterial SSU rRNA
Rfam family: Bacterial small subunit ribosomal RNA
Source: RNAcentral
UCCUACGGGAGGCAGCAGUGGGGAAUAUUGCACAAUGGGCGCAAGCCUGAUGCAGCAACGCCGCGUGAGGGACGAAGGCCUUCGGGUUGUAAACCUCUUUUAGUAGGGAAGAAGCGACUGGGUUUUCCUGGGAGUGACGGUACCUGCAGAAAAAGCACCGGCUAACUACGUGCCAGCAGCCGCGGUAAUACGUAGGGUGCAAGCGUUGCCCGGAAUUAUUGGGCGUAAAGAGCUCGUAGGCGGUUUGUCGCGUCUGCUGUGAAAACCCGAGGCUCAACCUCGGGCCUGCAGUGGGUACGGGCAGACUAGAGUGCGGUAGGGGAGAUUGGAAUUCCUGGUGUAGCGGUGGAAUGCGCAGAUAUCAGGAGGAACACCAAUGGCGAAGGCAGAUCUCUGGGCCGUAACUGACGCUGAGGAGCGAAAGCAUGGGGAGCGAACAGGAUUAGAUACCCUGGUAGUCCAUGCCGUAAACGUUGGGAACUAGAUGUGGGGACCAUUCCACGGUCUCCGUGUCGCAGCUAACGCAUUAAGUUCCCCGCCUGGGGAGUACGGCCGCAAGGCUAAAACUCAAAGGAAUUGACGGGGGCCCGCACAAGCGGCGGAGCAUGCGGAUUAAUUCGAUGCAACGCGAAGAACCUUACCAAGGCUUGACAUAUACCGGAAACGGCUGGAAACAGUCGCCCCGCAAGGUCGGUAUACAGGUGGUGCAUGGUUGUCGUCAGCUCGUGUCGUGAGAUGUUGGGUUAAGUCCCGCAACGAGCGCAACCCUCGUCCUAUGUUGCCAGCACGUAAUGGUGGGAACUCAUGGGAUACUGCCGGGGUCAACUCGGAGGAAGGUGGGGAUGACGUCAAAUCAUCAUGCCCCUUAUGUCUUGGGCUUCACGCAUGCUACAAUGGCCGGUACAAAGGGCUGCGAUACCGCAAGGUGGAGCGAAUCCCAAAAAGCCGGUCUCAGUUCGGAUUGAGGUCUGCAACUCGACCUCAUGAAGUCGGAGUCGCUAGUAAUCGCAGAUCAGCAACGCUGCGGUGAAUACGUUCCCGGGCCUUGUACACACCGCC